UGCUUUCACAUGCAAGUCGAGCGGCAGCGCGGGGGCAACCCUGGCGGCGAGCGGCGAACGGGUGAGUAAUGCAUCGGAACGUAUCCUGUAGUGGGGGAUAACCCAGCGAAAGUUGGGCUAAUACCGCAUGAGCUCUGAGGAGGAAAGCGGGGGACCUGAAAGGGCCUCGCGCUGCCGGAGCGGCCGAUGUCCGAUUAGCUAGUUGGUGGGGUAAAGGCUUACCAAGGCGACGAUCGGUAGCUGGUCUGAGAGGAUGAUCAGCCACACUGGGACUGAGACACGGCCCAGACUCCUACGGGAGGCAGCAGUGGGGAAUUUUGGACAAUGGGGGCAACCCUGAUCCAGCCAUGCCGCGUGAGUGAAGAAGGCCUUCGGGUUGUAAAGCUCUUUCGGACGGAACGAAAUGGGCGGGACUAAUACUCCUGUCCGAUGACGGUACCGUAAGAAGAAGCACCGGCUAACUACGUGCCACG
This 473-nucleotide ribosomal RNA is filed under the name Sterolibacterium sp. TKU1. RNAcentral's name for it is "bacterial SSU rRNA". It matches the Rfam family "Bacterial small subunit ribosomal RNA", at positions 45 to 512 of the family's 1533-position model. Lineage: Bacteria; Pseudomonadati; Pseudomonadota; Betaproteobacteria; Nitrosomonadales; Sterolibacteriaceae. The record is from RNAcentral.